GACGAACGCUGGCGGCGUGCUUAACACAUGCAAGUCGAACGGAAAGGCCCUGCUUUUGUGGGGUGCUCGAGUGGCGAACGGGUGAGUAACACGUGAGUAACCUGCCCUUGACUUUGGGAUAACUUCAGGAAACUGGGGCUAAUACCGGAUAGGAGCUCCUGCUGCAUGGUGGGGGUUGGAAAGUUUCGGCGGUUGGGGAUGGACUCGCGGCUUAUCAGCUUGUUGGUGGGGUAGUGGCUUACCAAGGCUUUGACGGGUGGCCGGCCUGAGGGGGUGACCGGCCAAAUUGGGACUGAGAUAGGGCCCAGACUCCUACGGGAGGCAGCAGUGGGGAAUAUUGCACAAUGGGCGGAAGCCUGAUGCAGCAACGCCGCGUGCGGGAUGACGGCCUUCGGGUUGUAAACCGCUUUCGCCUGUGACGAAGCGUGAGUGACGGUAAUGGGUAAAGAAGCACCGGCUAACUACGUG
RNAcentral lists this ribosomal RNA (468 nucleotides) under uncultured bacterium. RNAcentral's name for it is "partial 16S ribosomal RNA". It matches the Rfam family "Bacterial small subunit ribosomal RNA", at positions 28 to 507 of the family's 1533-position model. The record is from RNAcentral.